Molecule: ribosomal RNA, 425 nt
Filed under: uncultured bacterium
Lineage: Bacteria
Description: bacterial SSU rRNA
Rfam family: Bacterial small subunit ribosomal RNA
Source: RNAcentral
GUGGGGAAUAUUGGACAAUGGGGGCAACCCUGAUCCAGCCAUGCCGCGUGAGUGAAGAAGGCCUUCGGGUUGUAAAGCUCUUUUGGCGGGGACGAUGAUGACGGUACCCGCAGAAUAAGCCCCGGCUAACUUCGUGCCAGCAGCCGCGGUAAGACGAAGGGGGCUAGCGUUGUUCGGAAUUACUGGGCGUAAAGGGCGCGUAGGCGGUCUUGUCAGUCAGGCGUGAAAGCCCUGGGCUCAACCUGGGAGGUGCGCUUGAUACUGCAAGGCUUGAGUGCAGGAGAGGAUGGUGGAAUUCCCAGUGUAGAGGUGAAAUUCGUAGAUAUUGGGAAGAACACCGGUGGCGAAGGCGGCCAUCUGGACUGCAACUGACGCUGAGGCGCGAAAGCGUGGGGAGCAAACAGGAUUAGAUACCCCGGUAGUCC